AGGUACUCCCGAAUCCUCGGCGAGAGGAUAGGGAUAACGGCUGGAUGGCACAGCCAGCGGUUCACUUGUUCGACCGCAGGGAGGGCACUUUCGUCCCCCGAGAACAAGAGCCGAACCGCGAACCAUAAUAUCCCAACUGCGGUCGGGAAACCCCGCCGUUUACGCCGGGGC
Molecule: non-coding RNA, 171 nt
Filed under: Halococcus morrhuae DSM 1307
Lineage: Archaea; Methanobacteriati; Methanobacteriota; Halobacteria; Halobacteriales; Halococcaceae
Description: Sense overlapping transcript RNA 0042 (sot)
Rfam family: Sense overlapping transcript RNA 0042 (sot)
About the family: It is associated with IS1341-type transposase (tnpB) genes, at the 3'-end in H. salinarum NRC-1. The tetraloop structural motif may be functional.
Source: Rfam by way of RNAcentral